AUGGCCAUCCCCACGGCCCUCGCCGUCCGCGCCUCUCCCUCCUGCCAAUUCUCGCACAGUUCGUCCUUUGCCUGCUCUCCUUUGUCUAGGCGGAAUGGAAGCAGUGCAUCUCGGCGCCUCCGAGGACUGCAAGUUUUAACAUCAGGUGUUUCUGCACGGUUGGAUGAGAGGAUACACAGUCAAUCUUAUCCGAGGAAAAAUACAAUCGUGGCAUCAGAGAAUGAAAAUCCACCUUUAAUGCCUGCUAUCAUGACUCCUGGUGGCCCUCUGGAUCUGGCAACCGUACUGCUAGGAAACCGUAUAAUCUUCAUUGGUCAAUAUGUUAACUCGCAAGUGGCACAACGUGUGAUAUCACAGCUUGUCACACUUUCUGCUAUAGAUGAAGAGGGUGAUAUUCUGAUCUAUCUUAACUGCCCUGGCGGAAGUCUCUAUUCUAUCUUAGCAAUUUAUGAUUGCAUGUCCUGGAUCUCACCAAAAGUUGGGACAGUGUGCUUUGGUGUUGUUGCUAGUCAAGCAGCAAUCAUUCUUGCUGGUGGUGAGAAGGGGAUGCGCUAUGCGAUGCCUAAUGCCAGAGUAAUGAUUCAUCAGCCUCAAGGUGGAUCGGAGGGUAAUACGGAGGAGGUGAGGAGACAGGUUGGGGAAACCAUUUAUGCUCGAGAUAAAGUUGACAAAAUGUUUGCUUCUUUCACGGGGCGACCCAUCGAUAUAGUGCGACAGUGGACAGAGAGGGAUCGUUUCAUGUCGUCGUCCGAGGCCAUGGACUUCGGACUAGUCGACGCAUUGCUGGAAACGGGAUGCUAA
RNAcentral lists this ribosomal RNA (801 nucleotides) under Triticum aestivum (bread wheat). RNAcentral's name for it is "partial small subunit ribosomal RNA". Lineage: Eukaryota; Viridiplantae; Streptophyta; Magnoliopsida; Poales; Poaceae. The record is from RNAcentral.